Molecule: long non-coding RNA, 627 nt
Filed under: Homo sapiens (human)
Lineage: Eukaryota; Metazoa; Chordata; Mammalia; Primates; Hominidae
Description: long non-coding RNA NONHSAT211614.1
Source: RNAcentral
CCGCUGCCGGGCAUCGGCUUCCAGUCCGCGGAGGGCGAGGCGGCGUGGACAGCGGCCCCGGCACCCAGCGCCCCGCCGCCCGCAAGCCGCGCGCCCGUCCGCCGCGCCCCGAGCCCGCCGCUUCCUAUCUCAGCGCCCUGCCGCCGCCGCCGCGGCCCAGCGAGCGGCCCUGAUGCAGGCCAUCAAGUGUGUGGUGGUGGGAGACGGUGGGGUCGAGUGUACAUUGCCGUGUGGUCGUGUUUCCUGUAGGUGCUGUAAAAUACCUGGAGUGCUCGGCGCUCACACAGCGAGGCCUCAAGACAGUGUUUGACGAAGCGAUCCGAGCAGUCCUCUGCCCGCCUCCCGUGAAGAAGAGGAAGAGAAAAUGCCUGCUGUUGUAAAUGUCUCAGCCCCUCGUUCUUGGUCCUGUCCCUUGGAACCUUUGUACGCUUUGCUCAAAAAAAAACAAAAAAAAAAAACAAAAAAAAAAAACAACGGUGGAGCCUUCGCACUCAAUGCCAACUUUUUGUUACAGAUUAAUUUUUCCAUAAAACCAUUUUUUGAACCAAUCAGUAAUUUUAAGGUUUUGUUUGUUCUAAAUGUAAGAGUUCAGACUCACAUUCUAUUAAAAUUUAGCCCUAAAAUGAC